Molecule: long non-coding RNA, 706 nt
Filed under: Crocodylus porosus (Australian saltwater crocodile)
Lineage: Eukaryota; Metazoa; Chordata; Crocodylia; Crocodylidae
Description: lncRNA (ENSCPRG00005012560.1)
Source: RNAcentral
GACUGCAGCAGGAGAGUGUGUGCAUGGGGGGUGAGGGCAAGGAGGGACUUUGAUCUGGUUUCUUUUGAUGGAGGCAGGAUCCCAACCAUAAUCGAAUUGGCCAGUGGCUUGAUGUGAGACCGGAUAGAGGCAUCACACAACUGUCCUUCCAGCUGGCUGCUGAGCUGCCCCUGGGGCGCUAUACCGUCAGCGUGCCUGGCAGGGGGACUUCCAGCACCUUCAUUGUGGAGGAGUAUGGUAUGGUGGGGGUGAGGAUGAGGGGGCAUGAGAAGCCUCUGGCAGUAGCCCCUGGGGAGCCCCAUUGUGAGGAAAGCCUGUAUCCUGCUGAAUUAUGCUUAAAGGGCAAAUGGGGCAUGCCAUUGCUGAGGCUGCCCAAGCUCAGGGCUGGUCUGCCAGCCUGCUUCCUUUCUGAACCCUCCCUCUCCUAUCUCCUCUCUCCCAGUGCUACCCAAGUUUGAAGUGAUGGUGACAGAGCCUUCCCAGGUCUUCACAUAUGACACAGCUUUUCCACUGAAGGUCUGUGGCAGGUACACAUAUGGGAAGCCUGUUCAGGGCACAAUCCAGGCCUCUGCGUGUCAAAAAACCAGCAUUUGGUACACUGACCACAUGUCAUCAACUCUCACAGACCUCUGCUGGAAGUACACAGGCCAGACCGACCAAACUGGUUGCAUCUCAGCCUCCGUGAACAUGUCCUUCUUCAACCUGG